Non-coding RNA from Cordylochernes scorpioides, 73 nucleotides. NCBI's taxonomy places the organism in Eukaryota, Metazoa, Arthropoda, Arachnida, Pseudoscorpiones, Chernetidae. The record is from the annotation of a GenBank genome assembly.
AUCCAGGGGCGGGAAUCGAACCCACAACCUUCUGCUUACCGGGCAGGUGCCAUGUCCACUAGGCUACCCUGGA